Drosophila yakuba is the source of this 1983-nucleotide long non-coding RNA. RefSeq lists it as uncharacterized. The transcript is spliced from 2 exons. NCBI's taxonomy places the organism in Eukaryota, Metazoa, Arthropoda, Insecta, Diptera, Drosophilidae. The record is from RefSeq and is a predicted model, not a curated record.
GGGAUGGGGGAUGGGGGAUGGGGGAGGGGAGGUGUUUUCCUUGGGGGUUGAGAGCUGCCGCUAAAUUUGCAUAGGACAAACAGCAGGAGAAUUCGCCCCGCGGGAAAACGAGAGGCGAAUGAACUGGGAAAGGACGCAUGGAAAAGCGGAAAAUGCAGAGGAUAUGAAAAUUUACAUUUUUCAAAUGCCCCUUCGUGGAAUUCUCACUGCUCCCAAACGAACAUUACGGCAACUAAACUUUCGGCUAAUGAGUUAUAUGUCAUCUGUAUGUUUUGGGUUCCAAAACAAUGACAUUAGUCAAGUUAAUGUAUUCAGCUUUUGUUUACAGAUUUUUUGUGGCAGUUGACAGAAAGUUGUUAUUAUUCAAUUGGCAGUAAAUUGAAAAUAUAGAAUCUCUUACUUUUUAGGCUGUGCACUUUGGUGCAGUCAGUGGUGAGUGGCAGAGCGAAUGAGACAUUAUCCACUCAUCCCAUUCACUUAAUUAGAUUAAGCACUUUGGCCCUCUUCACUUUCCUCGCCAAAGGGUGCAGCACUCGAGUUUCACGGCCGGAAAUUAUUUGCCGUCUGCAAUUUCAAUUGAAACACGGGCCACACACUAAAAAUAUGAGAGGAUCAACUGCAUAGUACAGUAAAGUACUGUGGAGUUCAGUACACACCCAUUUGGCAGUGCAUUUCUUCACAUCCGCUGGCGAAUGCUUCACUGUUUCGUACGUUACUUCAAUGUGUUUAUAGUUCGCCGAUCUUUGGGGCGUCGUCCGAUAUGGAAAUUCCUAUCGCAAGUGCCUGGCGAUGCGUAACUCCCACAACUCCACUGACUCCCGAAGGGGCAAAGGCAUCCACAUCCACAUCGCCAUCGGAAUCGCCAUCGGCAUCGACCGAAGGGCUUGGCACCCAGCGAAAACCCUUCACGGUUGAGAGAACUCCAGUCACGUGUCUUGACACAAAAAAACAUGUAGCUACUAUGUGGUGUGCAUUGUGCAGAUGCUACGAAAUCAAAUUUCAUAUAUGGCUGGGCGAAAAACAACACACACAUUUUCCAACGGCGGCAAUUUCCGUUGGGAAAACCCACUGGAAAACCACUCUUUCUGUGAAUGUUGGAAAAUGUUUAGUUUAGUUUACUCAUCUCUACUUGCAAUUGCAUACCUCUUUAAGCAGUGAUCGAAACAUCUAAUAAAUGACACAUCUGUUGAUGAUUGCCUGCAGCUAUUAUGUUCCAGGUGUUACAUUUUAUUGCUAUUUUCUUCCAGUGUGAAGUUCAAGUGAGGCGUGGAGCAAGCCAGCCGGAAAAUGGGUUGUCUGUGGGCCCACACACGAAAUUGUCAUAUGUAGACACUUUUCGCCAGCCAUUUCCUGUUUGCCACUUUUAUGCGUGGAGCGGCCACCUACUUGCCCCAAGGAGUUACCAGUUGCACAUGGUAACCAGUCCAGAAUCUCAUCUCAUCUCACUGAUUUGCACCGAGCGACAAUUAAGUGCACUGCAUAGUGAAUUUGUUUCGUCUACUGCAGUGUAACGAGCGCUAAUUACCGCAUAAUUUCAGUUAAUUUCAGUUAGUUUCAGUUUAUUUUCAGUUUAUUUUCAGUUUAUUUUCAGUUAAUUUGCAGUUUAUUUGCCCUUUGCCGUAAUUAGCAAAAGGGGCGAACGUGACUCAAAGUCAGAGUUUUCUUUUCGCCCCACAACAAACCCAAUAAGCUGAAAGGCAAACUCGUUUCGAAUUUCCACCGACUGGAGGAGCGGAAAUGUACAACAAAACACGGAUAACGGAUAACGAGGAGGGGAAAAUGCAGGUCAGACAAGUGAAUUAGAAACAAAGCAAUGGCAAAUAAACUGCGACAGCGAAGCGGAAGUGGAUUUAGAUAAAGUCAGUAAACAACAACCAAGAGCGCAAAUAAUGUUAUCACAGUAAGUGCGAAAUGUACAAAAUACGAAAUAUAAAAUACAAAAUACGAAAUAAGAAAUACGAAUUAUAUUCAAAUAGAAGCGAA